UGGGGAAUAUUGGACAAUGGGGGCAACCCUGAUCCAGCAAUGCCACGUGUGCGAAGAAGGCCUUAGGGUUGUAAAGCACUUUAGUGGGGGAGGAAGGAUGAUGUGUUAAUACCACAUUAUUUUGACAGUACCCCAAGAAUAAGCACCGGCAAACUCUGUGCCAGCAGCCGCGGUAAUACAGAGGGUGCAAGCGUUAAUCGGAAUUAUUGGGCGUAAAGGGCUUGUAGGUGGUUGUAUAAGUUAGAUGUGAAAACCCUGGGCUUAACCUGGGACGUGCAUUUAAUACUGUAUAACUAGAGUAUAGUAGAGGAAAGGGGAAUUCCUGGUGUAGCAGUGAAAUGCGUAGAGAUCAGGAGGAACAUCGGUGGCGAAGGCGCCUUUCUGGACUAAUACUGACACU
RNAcentral lists this ribosomal RNA (400 nucleotides) under uncultured bacterium. Its description in RNAcentral is "bacterial SSU rRNA". It matches the Rfam family "Bacterial small subunit ribosomal RNA", at positions 355 to 747 of the family's 1533-position model. The record is from RNAcentral.